GCAGCGGCAUUGGAUGGAGAUGACCCUCAAAACCCAACACAAGGUCUGAUACCGAAACUUCUUCGCCGCCGACAUCUCAUAUGGGGCCUCAAUUACCCGCCGUUCACCGCCUAUCAUAGCUACGGCCAUUACCUCCUCCGUUCUUUCUUUCCAUCUUCCAUCCGUCGCUAUCUUCGCCUCCCGCGGCCACGAAUCUCCUCUCAGGGUUCUUAGCCAUUCUGGGCCGUGGUUCUGCCCACUGCAAUGAAUAACACUUAAGGUGGAAGAAGUUGACCUACCUCUUGUGGAGUAGAAGAAGAGAGGGGUGUACGUAACAACAGAGUAAAGAUGGGACCAUUCCCAACAGGCCAUCUAUUUGCAGGUCACCAGUGGAAGCAUCAGGAUUGCCCAAGCAAGACAUUUGGUCUGUGGUCCAUCCCCCAUGGGGCCCACUAGAUCAUCAGAUAGAUGUUGAUACGAUCGUAAGUUUCAGGUAGCUUUUUUUUUUUUUCACACAAGCACUUACACUCCCACACAUAUUCAAGCUCACACCACAGUGGGUACUUGAACCCACGACCUCAUGUUGAAACUCUCGUGAGUCUACCACAGGGGCAUGAGUAAGGACCCCCAAGUUUUGGUAAACAAAGUACUUAUUAGCCAAAAAGAUAAAAGUGUGUUUGGUUCCCAACAGCACACAAGUACUUAUCCCACCACCCACAUCUACCAUCCAUCAUGUGUAUGUUGGGAAUGGAGGAGAGAGGGGUAGUGUGGCCAACCCCUAGGGGGGCCCAUCACUUGGCGCAACCCUAUGUAUAGGGCCUGCAUAACCCAUAUCUCCACUUCUCAUGAAAUCUCUCUCAUUCUCUCACCCUCCCUUCUAUUUUUGGAAAAGCCGCACCUUCCUAUUUGGAAAAAAGUCAUGCCAUCCUGUUUUGGGAAACGCCGUGCCAUCCUAUUUUUUGGAAAAAGUUGUGCCUUCCCUGUUUUGAGAAAAGUUGUGCUAUCCCUAUUUUUGCGAAAAGCCGCGCCAUCUUUGUUUUUGGAAAAAUCCGCCCCAACCCUGUUUUUCAGGAAAAGCCAAGCCAACCCUGUUUUUCAGGAAAAGCCACCAACCCUAUUGUGCGGCCGCACUGACAUCUGAGGUGAGGGAACAGGGAGAUGAGGUAAGAUAUGUAUCUUAUAUGGGGCCCAUCCACUUGCAAGUUGAGUAGGACUAUGUCGUUGACGCACCACCUUCGUUGUCAGAUCGGAGAUGUAAAUUGGCUUGUCUUCCCGCAUCUGGUUAAUUUGAGUUGGCCACCGAGUAUUCGUGUUUCAGCUCCCUAGAUCAGUCAUGCAAUUGUAUUGCUAGAUCCAUAACACAAAAUAAUAAUAAAUGCCACAUUGUCUACUUCCUUGCCAAUAGUGAUAUAAGAGCAAACGUCUAA
Molecule: long non-coding RNA, 1406 nt
Organism: Magnolia sinica
Lineage: Eukaryota; Viridiplantae; Streptophyta; Magnoliopsida; Magnoliales; Magnoliaceae
Exons: 3
Source: RefSeq, a predicted model, not a curated record